Molecule: RNA transcript, 2302 nt
Organism: Eucalyptus grandis
Lineage: Eukaryota; Viridiplantae; Streptophyta; Magnoliopsida; Myrtales; Myrtaceae
Gene name: protein NUCLEAR FUSION DEFECTIVE 4
Exons: 3
Source: RefSeq, a predicted model, not a curated record
UUUCCUGUCCUGUCCUGCUCGCGUGGAGAGAGCAGAGGAAGAGACAGAUGGUCUGUCCAAACGUCAAAUGCCACCCUCUCUCCUCUCUCUCUCUCUCUCUCCAAGCAUGCCCUGAACGUAUUUCGCCCCCUCUCUCUAGCGUCAUAAGAAGAAGAAGGAGAACAUUCGCGACCAGGAAAGGAAAGAAGCUCUCCUCAUGUCUUCAAUGGCGAAUCUGAAAGGAGGGACGAGGCCGCCGUGGGUGGGGCUGGGAGCUGGCGUGUGGCUCCAGGUGGCCUCCGGCAACGCCUUCAACUUCCCCCUCUACUCCCACUCCCUCAAAUCGGUCCUCGGGUUCAACCAGCACCAGCUCACCAUGCUCGGCGUCGCCAACGACAUCGGCGAGAACGUCGGCCUCCUCCCGGGCUUCGUCAUCAACAAGUUCCCUCCUUGGGCCGUCCUCUUGAUCGGCGCCCUCACGUGCUUCUCUGGGUAUGGCGUGCUUUAUCUCGCCGUGAGCCGGACCGUCGAGUCCCUGCCUUACUGGUUGUUGUGGCUUGCCCUUUGUAUUGCCACCAAUAGCAGUGCCUGGUUAAGCACAGCCAUUCUGGUAACAAACAUGAGAAACUUCCCUCUAAGCCGAGGCACAGUCGCAGGGAUCCUCAAAGGUUAUGGAGGCCUAAGUGCUGCUGUAUUUACUGAAAUUUACAGUGUCUUGCUUCGACAUUCCUCUUCCAAGUUACUCGCGUUCCUCUGCAUCGGGAUCCCUCUCCUCUGUAUCACCCUGAUGUACUUUGUUAGGGCUUGUACCCCUGCUUUGGGUGAAGAUGCUUCAGAACACAGCCAUUUUCUUUUCAUACAAGCUGCAAGCAUUGUGCUUGGCUUAUAUCUCCUAACGACAACAAUAUUGGGUGACGUGCUGUCUUUGGCACCUCCCAUAUCCUUUAGUUUCAUUGUCAUUAUGAUUCUCCUUCUCAUGGCUCCUCUAGCAAUACCUGUCAAGAUGACAUUGUUUCGCAGUGUGACGAACAAAUCAGAGACUUCUAACCAAUCAGCUACGUCUUCGGGUUGUCCAAUAAAUGAGAAUGUCGAUGAGAAAACUGAGCCACUUUUGACACACGUAUCAUCUGCAACACAUGUAGGAAGUUUCCGUGAGAGUGAUGGGCCGUCAGAGAUUGACUUGCUUUUGGCAGAAGGUGAGGGAGCAGUGAAGAAGAAGAGGAGGCCCAAGAGAGGGGAGGAUUUCAAGUUUUUCGAGGCUCUUGUGAAGGCAGAUUUUUGGCUUCUGUUCUUGGUGUAUUUUGUUGGAGUUGGUACUGGCGUGACUGUGCUUAAUAAUCUGGCCCAAAUAGGGAUUGCUCAAGGUGUCCAUGACACAACCAUCUUGUUGUCUCUCUUCAGUUUCGGCAACUUUGCGGGCCGUCUUGGCGGGGGCGUCGUUUCUGAACAUUUUGUCAGGACGAAGACUAUGCCUCGAACAGUUUGGAUGACGUGGACGCAAGUUGCUAUGAUUGCCAUAUACCUUCUAUUUGCUUCUGCUUUUGAUGGCACGCUUUAUGCAGCGAUUGCAUUGCUCGGUUUCUGCUACGGCGUCCAAUUCUCUAUAAUGGUCCCGACUGUCUCCGAACUUUUGGGCUGAAGCAUUUUGGAAUAUUUUACAAUUUCAUGUUGAUGGGGAAUCCAAUUGGUGCAUUCCUCUUCUCCGGCCUCCUAGCUGGGUAUAUUUAUGACAACGAGGCUGCCAAACAGCACGGACUCACUCUCCACGGACUCAUGCUUCUAAAAUCGAGCGUGUCCUGCCUCGGUCCAAACUGCUUUAGGCUCACUUUCCUUGUUCUUGCUGGUGUCUGCGGCUUUGGUGUGAUUAUGAGCAUAAUUCUCACUAUCAGAAUAAAGCCCGUUUACGAGAUGCUCUAUUCUGGGGGUUCAUUUAGGUUGCCAAACAGUUCUCGUCACUGACUGACUCAAAGGACAGAGCAUGGACAUGGAAUUUUAACUCAUUGGACAGCAUGUGGUCACCAGUCCGCACCCAGAAAAGCAAACUAUUGGUUAUAAAGAUUGGUCAUGUUAUGGAGAGUGUACUUCGCGUUGAAGCAAAGAUCUGCAUUUUUUCUGUUCAUCACAUUGCAGAUUUGACUACUUUGACGUGAUUUUUUGUCAUUAAAAGAGUAUCCGGCGUGGAUAUGGAUGUAUGAACUUAUAUUAUAUGGGCUUAAAUGUGGUGUUGGAAAAUUUAAGCUAGAGUACUUAUACCUGCUCAACAAAGGAAGGAUGUGCAUGGUUAUUUAUGAUAUUAAGAGUUAUGAUACUAAGAGUUCAGCUA